GCAAGUCGAAUGAGAAAGCAACUUCGGUUGUGAGUAAAGUGGCGAACGGGUGAGGAACGCGUGAGUAUCUACUCUUCAGUGGAGGAUACCUCUGGGAAACUAGGGUUAAUCCUGCAUACGCUCGAAAGAGGAAAGGUGGCUUCUUGCUAUCGCUGAAGAAUGAGCUCGCGUCCUAUUAGCUAGUUGGUGGGGUAAAGGCCUACCAAGGCUCAGAUGGGUAUCCGGCCUGAGAGGGUUAUC
This 240-nucleotide ribosomal RNA is filed under the name uncultured bacterium. RNAcentral's name for it is "partial 16S ribosomal RNA". It matches the Rfam family "Bacterial small subunit ribosomal RNA", at positions 57 to 305 of the family's 1533-position model. The record is from RNAcentral.